CCUCAGAUUGGACGAGAUUACCCGCUGAAUUUAAGCAUAUAACUNAGCGGAGGAAAAGAAACUAACNAGGAUUUCCCCAGUNACGGCGAGUGAAGCGGNAAGAGCCCAGCACCGAAUCCCCCGGUGUGCAGCCGGCGGGAACUGUGGUGUGUGGGACGCCACCAGUCGCGCAUGCCGAUGCCCAAGUCCUCCUGAUCGAGGCUUCACCCAGAGCGGGUGUAAGGCCUUUAGCUGGUACUCGGCUGCGCGCCGCGAGCGUCCCAGGAGUCGGGUUGUUUGGGAAUGCAGCCCAAAGC
This 296-nucleotide ribosomal RNA is filed under the name Amphibola crenata. RNAcentral's name for it is "partial 28S ribosomal RNA". It matches the Rfam family "Eukaryotic large subunit ribosomal RNA", at positions 1 to 293 of the family's 3401-position model. Lineage: Eukaryota; Metazoa; Mollusca; Gastropoda; Amphibolidae. The record is from RNAcentral.